CCUCUCGGGGGUAAGCGGGCAGAACUUGCAAGUAUUGAGGGGAACAUUCAGGCUUGGUGUUGAUGGCUGAUGAUGUGCAUUAAGUUGUUGGUUCGCCUUUGGCUGAUGCACGUUUUUUGUUCUGUUGACAAUACGCCGCAUUUGUUCCUCUCAUCGGGUUGCAUGCGACUGAGUUGUGUAUUUUAGGUGCCGGGGUACUGCAAAUCCUUGUGGUUUGAGUCCUGGUUUCCAACUACAUAUGCGGUCGUUGUACAGCAAACAGGCGUUUAACGCGGUCAGGGGUUUUCACGAGUGGGGUGCAUAUGAUUUGUGGACGGGUAACCGUAGCACGUUGUAUGUAUCUGCUGUCAGUGAGAGCUGUUUGGCACUGUUUAGUAUUGCAAUCUAAAGCAUGCGUGGUCUGCCUGU
RNAcentral lists this ribosomal RNA (408 nucleotides) under Orchesella cincta. RNAcentral describes it as "partial 28S ribosomal RNA". Lineage: Eukaryota; Metazoa; Arthropoda; Collembola; Entomobryomorpha; Orchesellidae. The record is from RNAcentral.